Molecule: long non-coding RNA, 336 nt
Organism: Equus caballus (horse)
Lineage: Eukaryota; Metazoa; Chordata; Mammalia; Perissodactyla; Equidae
Source: RefSeq, a predicted model, not a curated record
AGAUGGAGCGGGGAAGCUGUCAGUGUUCCUCAGGAAUCGAAUGAAGUUCUUGGCAGGGAGCGUCUACACGGGUUAGAAGAGGAAGUCAGAGAGAUUUGAAGCAUAAGAAGGACUCAACCCACCAUUGCCUGCUUGAAGAUGAAGGGGCCAUGUGAAAAGGAUAAGAAGGAAAUGAAUUUUAUCAACAACCAGUGAACUUGGAAGAGGACCUUGAGACCCAGAUGAGGACUGCAGCUGGCUGACACCUUAGUGGGAGACUUGGAGCAGAGAAACCAGCUGAGUCCAUCUGGAAUUCUGACCUACAGAAAGAUCAGUAAUAAAUUUGUAUUGUUUCAA